RNAcentral lists this long non-coding RNA (875 nucleotides) under Marmota monax (woodchuck). The record is from RNAcentral. Lineage: Eukaryota; Metazoa; Chordata; Mammalia; Rodentia; Sciuridae.
CAAUGGUUCUCCCAUACCUGGAAGCUAAUGAAUAAUGAGCACCAUUAAGGCCUAUUCCAAAUGUAAAAAACCUUGAGAUAAUGUACUAAAUUGUUCGGAAGGUUGUUUUCUUAGUGCCUACUGGAAUGCUACAGGAUUUUCUUUAGCCAUUGCCAGAGUUCCUGCCUUCAUCCCAGUGCCGGUGAGGACGAGGGUGGAGGGAUUUCCAGUGUUGCUGACUUCAGAUCAAGCUGGCUUCCUGCAGAACUUACCUGGACUGUGAACUUACCUGGACUGUGAUUUAAUUACCUGGACUGUGAACUUACCUGGACUGUGAUUUACCUGGACUAUGUGUUACUUAUAUGCAUAGUGAACUAUCUGUUGAUGCAACGAAUUGUGGUAGUACCGGGGUACCUUUGCUGAUGGUGUCAUCUGUGGUACAAUUUUUCCAAGGGCUUCUUACUUGGAGCCAUCAAUUGGCUUGGUAUCGUGGCAUUUUGUAUCCUCCCCUUCUGCUUGUAGUAGGUUAUUUAUGGUGUUUGUGUAUCCACAAGUAUGGCUGAGUGUGUUGGGCCGGUAGUCAAAGACGGGUAAGAUCCAAUUACAAUGGUACCAACCUAAGACAAGAGGCUGACGAUUUGAGGUCAGACCAUCCAAUGACGGGUAAGGACCAUAUGUAGUAUUGGACAACCUAAAACAGGCACAGUCCCUAAGCCACAUACUUGUUGUUUAAUUAAACAAAAGGGGGAAAUGUUGAGGACCACAGACAAGUCAAGAUGGCGCCUGGCAUUUUGCCAGGGGGAGUGGUUUGAGAAGUAACGCCAGAGAGCCAUUAAGAUAAUGGAGAUUCCUUAAUGACUGACUGCUGUGUCUAGAUUAUGUCAAUUAAAUUAAGC